UGCAAGUCGAGCGGUAACAGAUCCAGCUUGCUGGAUGCUGACGAGCGGCGGACGGGUGAGUAAUGCAUAGGAAUCUGCCCGAUAGUGGGGGAUAACCUGGGGAAACCCAGGCUAAUACCGCAUACGUCCUACGGGAGAAAGGGGGCUCCGGCUCCCGCUAUGGGAUGAGCCUAUGUCGGAUUAGCUAGUUGGUGAGGUAACGGCUCACCAAGGCCACGAUCCGUAGCUGGUCUGAGAGGAUGAUCAGCCACAUCGGGACUGAGACACGGCCCGAACUCCUACGGGAGGCAGCAGUGGGGAAUAUUGGACAAUGGGGGAAACCCUGAUCCAGCCAUGCCGCGUGUGUGAAGAAGGCCCUCGGGUUGUAAAGCACUUUCAGCGAGGAAGAACGCCUAGCGGUUAAUACCCGCUAGGAAAGACAUCACUCGCAGAAGAAGCACCGGCUAACUCCGUGCCAGCAGCCGCGGUAAUACGGAGGGUGCAAGCGUUAAUCGGAAUUACUGGGCGUAAAGCGCGCGUAGGUGGCUUGAUAAGCCGGUUGUGAAAGCCCCGGGCUCAACCUGGGAACGGCAUCCGGAACUGUCAAGCUAGAGUGCAGGAGAGGAAGGUAGAAUUCCCGGUGUAGCGGUGAAAUGCGUAGAGAUCGGGAGGAAUACCAGUGGCGAAGGCGGCCUUCUGGACUGACACUGACACUGAGGUGCGAAAGCGUGGGUAGCAGACAGGAUUAGAUACCCUGGUAGUCCACGCCGUACACGAUGUCGACCAGCCGUUGGGGUGCCUAGCGCACUUUGUGGCGAAGUUAAC
RNAcentral lists this ribosomal RNA (804 nucleotides) under uncultured bacterium. RNAcentral describes it as "bacterial SSU rRNA". It matches the Rfam family "Bacterial small subunit ribosomal RNA", at positions 56 to 856 of the family's 1533-position model. The record is from RNAcentral.